Molecule: ribosomal RNA, 429 nt
Filed under: uncultured bacterium
Lineage: Bacteria
Description: bacterial SSU rRNA
Rfam family: Bacterial small subunit ribosomal RNA
Source: RNAcentral
CCUUAUCCCCAGUUGCCAUCAUUCAGUUGGGCACUCUGGUGAAACCGCCUCGGAUAACGGGGAGGAAGGUGGGGAUGACGUCAAGUCCUCAUGGCCUUUAUGUCCAGGGCUACACACGUGCUACAAUGGCCGGUACAAACCGUCGCAAACCCGCGAGGGGGAGCUAAUCGGAAAAAGCCGGCCUCAGUUCGGAUUGCAGUCUGCAACUCGACUGCAUGAAGCUGGAAUCGCUAGUAAUCGCGGAUCAGAAUGCCGCGGUGAAUACGUUCCCGGGCCUUGUACACACCGCCCGUCACAUCACGAAAGUGGGUUGCACUAGAAGUCGGUGAGCCGACCCAAAAGGGGGCAGCCGCCCAAGGUGUAAUUCAUGAUUGGGGUGAAGUCGUAACAAGGUAGCCGUAGGAGAACCUGCGGCUGGAUCACCUCCUU